This is a long non-coding RNA of Solenopsis invicta (red fire ant), 1266 nucleotides long. RefSeq lists it as uncharacterized. Lineage: Eukaryota; Metazoa; Arthropoda; Insecta; Hymenoptera; Formicidae. The transcript has 5 exons. The record is from RefSeq and is a predicted model, not a curated record.
AUCGCAGUCAGCGACCCGAGUAGCUCCGACUUAAUAGUACUCUUAUAUCAUGAGUUUGACAAGAGUGGAUGGGAAAUCGUAGCUUCGUCAUAAUCCAAUGCCACCUGGGCACAAUAGAGGGCCUAAUCUGUGGAAAUUUCGACAGCCGCGUCCUUAGAAAGUAUUCUCGAGGUCGCCGUUUGGAAAUUCACGUGGAAGAAGCGGUGCGAAACUUUCUUUAAGGAUUUUUUUCCAAGCAAAUAAGAUUUUUACGAAUAAUUUCGAAUGAUACAGACAUUCCGAGGGACUCAUAAUUUUUUACAAUCGCGUUUAAGAUCUCAUUUCACGUGGAUAUUUAACUCUUGGCCUAAUUAAAACAUGAAAUCGAACAUGCAUUCGAAAGUCCACGUAUGCAUUCGUAACCAUCGUUAUUGUCUAUUUGCGAUCGCGGCGAGUGCCGUGGAGAAGAAAAGAGGAGGAGGGGCCUUGGCCGCGGGGCCCCGGGACGGCGUGAUACAUCCGAUCGCGCUCUCCCAUCCGUUUUUCACUCGCCCGACCGGCUGGCUGCCUGGCUGCGGCCCGUACGAUCUCGCGGGAUACCGAUCUGCGUAUUUCGAUACCUUCUCGGGCUGGACAUAAAUAGAAAACCCGGCGUCUCUCGCGGAUGAAAAUGAUGAUCGCCGGCCUCCCCGCCUCCGCUUUCAAAGACCGCAUUGAUGAUUUUCCGUCGCUGUAGCGUCUUGAACGACACAUACUCGGUUUCAUCGUGCGGAGAAAACUUGAGAGCCACGCUUUACAACGCUUAUUCAUUACUUUCACUCGACGAGAGAAUAGAAGCAUCAUUUUCCCUGUCUGAAAUGUUUAGUUACUUGAGACUCAAGUAUUUCCUGGCGUUUCCUGACAUUGAUAAAGUUCGAUUAAUUAACAUAAUUAAUGCAGCAGCUGAUUUAGUAUACAUCAGACAGAUAUGUAAACUUCGCAGCACGAGUGUUGUUUUCGAUUUUUUUUUUUUUUUUUUUUUUAAAUUGAAUCCGGAUUUAUCCGCGAUGGGGCCGCUUUGUGGCGAACCAGGGCGUAACGACAAAUAACGGCUGAUUAUACUUGCGCUAUAUUCGCUAUAUUAUAAUUGUAAGUGCAUCGCAGAUCUGUCGGUUUGACGCGAUUCGCUGGCGGCAGGACAGGACGUGCACGAUUAAAUCGCGCGGGCUGUAAUUACGGGGGUCCUUUGAUGCCUGUGACAGCGAUUCCUCGCGCUCUUACGCAACACGCGACGUAUUAAUAAUUAAG